This 527-nucleotide ribosomal RNA is filed under the name uncultured archaeon. RNAcentral describes it as "bacterial SSU rRNA". It matches the Rfam family "Archaeal small subunit ribosomal RNA", at positions 346 to 879 of the family's 1478-position model. The record is from RNAcentral.
AACUUUACAUGCAGGAACUGUGAUAAGGGAACCCCGAGUGCCCGUAUACGCGGGCUGUCCAGGUGUUUAAAACGCAUCUGAAGAAAGGGCCGGGCAAGACCGGUGCCAGCCGCCGCGGUAAUACCGGCGGCUCGAGUGGUGGCCACUUUUAUUGGGCUUAAAGCGUCCGUAGCUGGACCCUUAAGUCUCUUGGGAAAUCCGCCGGCUUAACCGGCGGGCGUCUAAGAGAUACUGGGGGUCUAGGGACCGGGAGAGGUGAGAGGUACUCCGGGGGUAGGAGUGAAAUCCUGUAAUCCCCGGGGGACCACCUAUGGCGAAGGCAUCUCACCAGAACGGCUCCGACAGUGAGGGACGAAAGCUGGGGGAGCGAACCGGAUUAGAUACCCGGGUAGUCCCAGCCGUAAACUAUGCGCGUUAGGUGUACUGGUGACCACGAGUCACCGGGGUGCCGAAGGGAAACCGUGAAACGUGCCGCCUGGGAAGUACGGUCGCAAGGCUGAAACUUAAAGGAAUUGGCGGGGGAGCAC